This 1583-nucleotide ribosomal RNA is filed under the name metagenome. RNAcentral describes it as "bacterial LSU rRNA". It matches the Rfam family "Bacterial large subunit ribosomal RNA", at positions 545 to 2132 of the family's 2925-position model. The record is from RNAcentral.
AGAUCCUGAAACCGCAUGCUUACAAAAAGUCGGAGCCUCGAAAGGGGUGACGGCGUACCUUUUGUAUAAUGGGUCAGCGACUUACAUUCAGUGGCAAGCUUAACCGAAUAGGGAGGGCGCAGGGAAACCGAGUCCGAAUAGGGCGAUUUAGUCGCUGGGUGUAGACCCGAAACCAAGUGAUCUAUCCAUGGCCAGGAUGAAGGUGUUGUAACAGGCACUGGAGGUCCGAACCGACUAGUGUUGCAAAAUUAGCGGAUGAGCUGUGGAUAGGGGUGAAAGGCUAAACAAACUUGGAAAUAGCUGGUUCUCUCCGAAAACUAUUUAGGUAGUGCCUCAAGUAUUACCUUCGGGGGUAGAGCACUGUUUAGGCUAGGGGGUCAUGGCGACUUACCAACCCUAUGCAAACUCCGAAUACCGAAGAGUAGAGCUUGGGAGACAGAGCACCGGGUGCUAACGUCCGGACUCAAGAGGGAAACAACCCAGACCGCCAGCUAAGGUCCCUAAAAUUGGCUAAGUGGGAAACGAAGUGGGAAGGCUAAAACAGUCAGGAUGUUGGCUUAGAAGCAGCCAUCAUUUAAAGAAAGCGUAAUAGCUCACUGAUCGAGUCGUCCUGCGCGGAAGAUGUAACGGGGCUAAGCCAAUUAUCGAAGCUGCGGAUGCACAGUUUACUGUGCGUGGUAGGAGAGCGUUGUGUAAGCCUGUGAAGGUGUCUGGUAAUGGAUGCUGGAGGUAUCACAAGUGCGAAUGCUGACAUGAGUAGCGUUAAAGCGGGUGAAAAGCCCGCUCGCCGUAAGCGCAAGGUUUCCUACGCAAUGUUCAUCGGCGUAGGGUGAGUCGGCCCCUAAGGCGAGGCAGAGAUGCGUAGCUGAUGGGAAACAGGUCAAUAUUCCUGUACCGCUCAAUGGUGCGAUGUGGGGACGAAGAAGGUUAGCUCAGCCGGGUGUUGGACAUCCCGGUUCAAGCGUGUAGUCGUGGUCCUUAGGCAAAUCCGGGGAUCUGAGAUGAGGCGUGAUAGCGAGUGUGCUUGCACAUGAAGUGAGUAAUACCCUGCUUCCAGGAAAAGCCACUAAGCUUCAGCCAUUGACGACCGUACCGCAAACCGACACUGGUGCGCGAGAUGAGUAUUCUAAGGCGCUUGAGAGAACUGCGGAGAAGGAACUCGGCAAAUUGAUACCGUAACUUCGGGAGAAGGUAUGCCCUCAGUAGGUGAAGUCGUACAGAUGGAGCCAAAAGGGGUUGCAAUAAAUCGGUGGCUGCGACUGUUUAAUAAAAACACAGCACUCUGCAAAGACGAAAGUCGACGUAUAGGGUGUGACGCCUGCCCGGUGCUGGAAGAUUAAUUGAUGGGGUGCAAGCUCUUGAUCGAAGUCCCAGUAAACGGCGGCCGUAACGAUAACGGUCCUAAGGUAGCGAAAUUCCUUGUCGGGUAAGUUCCGACCUGCACGAAUGGCGUAACGAUGGCCACACUGUCUCCUCCGCAGACUCAGCGAAGUUGAAAUGUUUGUGAUGAUGCAAUCUCCCCGCGGAAAGACGGAAAGACCCCAUGAACCUUUACUGUAGCUUUGUAUGGGACUUUGAACAGG